Molecule: non-coding RNA, 4694 nt
Organism: Rattus norvegicus (Norway rat)
Lineage: Eukaryota; Metazoa; Chordata; Mammalia; Rodentia; Muridae
Source: RefSeq, a predicted model, not a curated record
AAUAUAUAUAUAUAUAUAUAUAUAUAUAUAUAUAUAUAUAUAUGCCCGUGCAACUAUUUCAAUAAGUCAAUCAUUUGACUGGUAGCAAAUGAUUGAUUUAUUGAAAUAGUUUCAUGGGCCACUAUGGCUCAGCAGAGAGAAUUUUAGGUGUGUAAAUGAAGGGUCAUAACGUGGUUGGGCAGGGUUCUCUCUGCAGUUUAGUAAUAGCAGCAACAGCUACUUUCUGAAGAGGAUGGUGGGUACGGGGCUACCCUCUUGAAUGAAGGAAUGAAGCAUGGUCACUUACCUGUCAGUCCAGGGGACGUCUUGUUAGCCAGACGUCCACUUAAAGCAGCACUCACAGAAGCUGUGCACGGGCUCCUGUUCAGUUUUCAUGCACGCUCUUUCAGAAAUGCACUUAGCAUUCUUCACAGGUUAUGGGAUAGACUUACCAUUUAUGGAAAGGAUUUUUUUAAAUAAACUGUACCUUUUUCUCACAUCAUAUAUUAAAAUGUGAAUAAAGCUCCUGACAUAAGAGAUGACUGGCUGACUGAGUAUCACAAGGAUUUAUAGCUCAGACAUGAGAUUUGAAAAGAGAAUUUUUUUCUUUUUUAGAAUGGUAGUAUGGAACAUUCUGGAAUGGUAGUAUCAAACUGGAGUGAACUGUGCACCCCGCACAUUUGACUGGAGUGAUUUUUCAUUGUCAUUAUUUGCAGGUAGAGAGGCUAUAGGUACCUGCUGGGGAAGAGGGAAAGGACCAGAGAACAUCUAAAAAUGCUGUAGCACACAGCAGCACCCAUCCAACCAAGUAUCUGUCCAGUUGCUAAGGUCGAGCAGCUCUCCUGGGAGACAGGAAAAGCUUCUGUUGGACUUGACAGGAAGUAGAGCCAUGCACAUGGAAAGAGACUCGUGGCAGUGUAGACAUUGGUGGAUUCCUCCGAAGGGACUCGAUGAUGCCCCUUCCAGAAUAGUGUCCCUAGAAAGAGGUAAAGCUGAGUUAGACCUAUGACUGGAGAAGUCUGGGCAAGGGAGACCCCAGAUGGCCUCUCGGCAUUUGCCCCAGCAAUUGCACAGACAGAACGUGAAAAGCCACCCCAUCCUGCUGCAUGAGAGUAGAACUGGGGCCCUGUAAGAAAUGAGUGCAUGUCUGUAAGGAACUGAUAGACCCAUGAUUGAUUUCCAAAGAAACACUUCCACACUUUCAGUUCUCUGUGACUCCUUAACAAUUAAAGGGCCAAAUGCCAAGACAUGCACGUGUCCUGGUAGAAUAGGAAUCGGACUGUGCUACAGAAAAACACACAUAUUUCACAUAUACCUGUGACUGUGAGCUUUCUGCUAUACGUAGGAUAGCUCACACUGCACAUUACACGUGAAGGAAGUCGGGCCUCAUCUCUGCAGCAAUGAUGCUUCCCGGAGUGGCUCUCGGUGAGAAUACCCUUAUUCUGAUCAACUCCAAUAGCAUCGGGCUUCAUCGAAACAGGGAGUUAAUGAGUUCUGUCUUCCCAGAAAUCCAGGCUGACCUUCUAGAAGCUCAAACUGGGGAUCUGGCGACCUCCAGAAUAAGGCUGAUAACAUGCAUUAACAUCCGCAGGAAGCCAUAGAUCACUCUUGAUUUUAGGAAGCUCAGAUUUGUCCUAGACGUUCUUGGUGAGUAGUUCUUAAAAGAAGAAAUCGUUGCAGAACACAUCAUAUACUUUUCAAUUCCUUCAUGGAUAAGAUCUUAACACUUUGUCCUUUAAAAUAAAAAUACCCGGAGACUUCCCUCUUCCAAAAUAAACUAUAUUGUCUGAUUUCAGCAGCAUGAUAAGCUAACUUUUUUAUCUUUAUACUUACUAGUAGCUGGAAAUGAAUUUUAUACAGUCUGGAAAUGCGUUUAUAUUCUAGACUCUGGAAUAUCCUAGACUCUAGAUCAAUAUCUAGGAGAUAUUGAUUUUAUUUUUAUUGUGCUUCUGUCCUGGCUGGUCAACUUGACUCAUCUUCCUCGCCUUUUAUGUGGCCCAAUCAGCACAUGAAUGUACCCAGGAUCACAGUAUGAAGUAUGUCUUUCACCUUGACAUGUCUUAUUACUGUCUGGUUUACAAAGGAACGUUUCAACCUCCGCUGUGAGAAUGGUGCUCUACAGUGAAGAGUAUGCUUUCCCAUGGGGGUGAGGUCUUAAUAAUGGAGCAUCCUAAGAUGAAAUGUCUCACAUACUUUAUAGAGUCUCUGUCUUCCUGGCCUCAGCUCUUCUGCUGCAUUAUUCCGUCCACAUUUAUCUGAAGGUUGUGCUCCAAUGAUCCUACAAAAGAGGAAGAAGUGAACACUGACAGUCCUUGCCAGUAGUGAUCACAUCGUUCCCUUGAAAUGUUGCUUACUUACGCCAAAUGAGAUAUUUAUUGAGCACCAACUAGUAGCGUAGAACCUAUACAAUACCAUUUGAUAAAAGGAUCUUGUAUUACUGAAGGGUAAGAGUCUUGAGAAAAUGAAGCACUUAGCUCAGGACUUCAUGUUUCUGUUGCAACAUGAAAACAUUCCUGAACUCAGAAAUUACAAAGCCAAUAAAAUGCUGACUAGAGCCAAAGACGAUGUAUAAUGCUUUCUGUCAGCAUUCUGGGUUUUAAAAUGAUCUAAUGACUGUAUUUUACGUGGAUGGGUGUUUUAUCCAUGUGUGUCUGUUUACUAUGUGCAUGUCUGAUGCUACACCGGUCAGAGGAGGACAUCGUACUCCUUAGAACUGCAGUUACCGAUGCCAAUGGCCAUUUGGGUGCAAACGAUCAAACUCAGGGCCCCUGGAAAACCAGUCAGUGCUCUUAAAUGCCGAGCCAACUCUCCAGUCCCAAAGUCUUAUUUCUCUUACUAUCCAUAUUGGAAAAUAAAUAUCAUUGCAAAAUUCACAUAAUCGCUGGCCAAAUUAAGAGUGCCACUUUAAAGAAUAUUUUACAGUGAUUCAAGCAGAUUUACCACAAUGACUUUUAAAUUAUUUUUUGGCAUAAAGAAUAUUUUUACAGUGGUUCAAACGAAUUUACCACAAUGACUUUUAAAUUAUUUUUUGGCAUUUGCUCACUCUUAUUUCUUAAUAAUAAAACAAAAGUAUAAUCUGAGGGCUUUUACUAGGAGGCAUGGUAUUUCAUCAUCUGCAGACCACUGGCUGUCAGUCCAAACACAACUAGCUCUGGCUGUGUGUUUAACCUCUUGGUCACACUCCUCAAAUGGUGGCUGUUUUCUGAUUAUUUCCAUUGUCUGAUAGCUGGCUAAAAGCUAUAGGUAUUUGACUUGCUUUAUUAUGCGGACAUGGACCUUGGGGUGGGGAAGCAGAUGAAAUUAAUGUACUGUGGUGGGUUCGUUGAUGUAGACACGGGGAUUUGGUAGAAAACCACAACAUGAGCAGAGACCCCAAAGUGACAAGACAAUUCCGUAUCCAACGGGGGUUGGGGGUGUGUGUGUGGCCUAUAGAGAGUUCUAACUCAGUGGGGAGCUGAAAGAGACUUUACUACCGACUCUUGAAGUCUAAUCUUCAACGGUGGAAAACACAAUUGCAGAUGUGAAGUUCAUCCAUUUCCGUGUGGCCAAGGGCAGCUUCAAUGAGAUGAGUUCUACAUUUAGUGUGGUAUUGAUUUCCUCAUCAACGUGGGCAGAGAGCUUCUCUUUUAAAUGCAUUUGUUGCCCAUGCACACACACACCAAGCCAACAUGGUUCCAUGUGGAGAUGUUUAAUGAGAGAAGAGUAGAAGUGGGGAGAAGUAAAGGGGGCCAGCCAUGGGCACGUGGGGGGGAGGGGUGGGGAGAGAAGGGACAGGGACAGAGGGAAACAGAGCAGAGAAGAGAACAAGAGAAAGCAAGAACAGGAAGAGCAAGAGAGAAUGAGGAGGGGGCAAGCAGCCCCUUUUAUAGUCAGGCACAGGUGGCUGUUGCCAGGCAACUGUGGGGCGGAGCAUACCUGGCUGUGCCCAGGUAGCUGUGGGGACACCACCAGGUCUUUUUGGUUGUGGUUGUUUGUAUUGUGUUGCGUUGUCGGUUUGGCUUGUUUUUUACAUCCGGGUCCAUCGUUUCUUUUUUAGGCUGUGAAUUCGGUGAAUGCGUGUGGAAUGAGCACCAGCAGCUCAGGCUCCUUCCCAUUAGUCCUCACAAAACGGGCUUCUCUAGGUGACUUAACGCUGGUGGUUCAGGACAGCUAUUUGAAUGCAGCAUUCUCUCCUGAAGAGAAACGGAGUAAAGAAAGACAACAAAGUAGAACUCUCCUGUAACUAGCAGCAACUGAAAACAUACAGUGUAUCUUACAUCUUGUUCCAUUAUUAUCCAGAUCUACGGCCCCAAAACAAAUUGAUAUCCCUCAUAAGGGGGAAAAUACGUGCGUAUUAUACUUCCCAAGUUCAAUGGUUGUCAGAAGAAUCUGUGUUUCUAGAUGCAUCCUGUCACGUUAAUUCAUUCCAGAGGGGCAAGCAACUGGAAGCAAACCAGACAAGCAUGAAAUCAACAGAAAGGCAGAAGGAGAUGAGUGAGGUGCGGAAGAGCCCUGCUUUGUUGGGGCAGGCCCACUCUUGCCUCUCUGAUUAAUGUACCUUUCUCAGGGUUUAGCCAUGAUCUUUCUCAAAGUAAACUACCUUUGAUGAAUUUGGGUUAAAAAUAAUACUCAACUUUUUCAUCCAGUCGAAAGUUGUAUUUAUUUUCACUGUCUUAGAAUUAAAUAUUUAUGUGUGUGCUGUGUUCAUUUUAAAUAAAAGGAGUAAAAAUCUAAAA